AAAUCAUUAUGAGGACACUUUCUCAAGAGUUCUUCAAAUCACUCACAUGCAUCGAAUAAGGAUUCUGCUUCAUAUUAUUGGAAGUAACAUAUCUUUGUCAUAAGCUU
Abrus precatorius (Indian licorice) is the source of this 107-nucleotide small nucleolar RNA. The record is from RefSeq and is a predicted model, not a curated record. Lineage: Eukaryota; Viridiplantae; Streptophyta; Magnoliopsida; Fabales; Fabaceae.